CCCUUAGAUGUUCUGGGCCGCACACGCGCUACACUGAAGGAGGCAGCGUGUACUCCUGGAUCGAAAGAUUUGGGUAACCCGCGAAUCUCCUUCGUGCUAGGGAUUGAGGUUUGCAAUUAUCCUUCAUGAACGAGGAAUUCCCAGUAAGUGCAAGUCAUAAGCUUGCACUGACUACGUCCCUGCCCUUUGUACACACCGCCCGUCGCUCCUACCGAUGGGGUGAUCCGGUGAAUGAUUCGGACUCUGUAGUCUCGCUAUGAGUUUUAACGGAGAAAGUCUUGUGAACCUUAUCACUUGGAGGAAGGAGAAGUCGUAACA
Molecule: ribosomal RNA, 318 nt
Filed under: uncultured eukaryote
Lineage: Eukaryota
Description: partial 18S ribosomal RNA
Rfam family: Eukaryotic small subunit ribosomal RNA
Source: RNAcentral